This 467-nucleotide ribosomal RNA is filed under the name uncultured bacterium. Its description in RNAcentral is "partial 16S ribosomal RNA". It matches the Rfam family "Bacterial small subunit ribosomal RNA", at positions 28 to 507 of the family's 1533-position model. The record is from RNAcentral.
GACGAACGCUGGCGGCGUGCUUAACACAUGCAAGUCGAACGGAAAGGCCCUGCUUUUGUGGGGUGCUCGAGUGGCGAACGGGUGAGUAACACGUGAGUAACCUGCCCUUGACUUUGGGAUAACUUCAGGAAACUGGGGCUAAUACCGGAUAGGAGCUCCUGCUGCAUGGUGGGGGUUGGAAAGUUUCGGCGGUUGGGGAUGGACUCGCGGCUUAUCAGCUUGUUGGUGGGGUAGUGGCUACCAAGGCUUUGACGGGUAGCCGGCCUGAGAGGGUGACCGGCCACAUUGGGACUGAGAUACGGCCCAGACUCCUACGGGAGGCAGCAGUGGGGAAUAUUGCACAAUGGGCGGAAGCCUGAUGCAGCAACGCCGCGUGCGGGAUGACGGCCUUCGGGUUGUAAACCGCUUUCGCCUGUGACGAAGCGUGAGUGACGGUAAUGGGUAAAGAAGCACCGGCUAACUACGUG